This 107-nucleotide small nuclear RNA is filed under the name Castor canadensis (American beaver). Lineage: Eukaryota; Metazoa; Chordata; Mammalia; Rodentia; Castoridae. The record is from RNAcentral.
GUGUUCACUUUGGCAGCACAUAUACUAAAACUGGAAUGAUACAGAGAAAAUUAGCAUGGCCCCCGUGCAAGGAUGACAUGCAAAUUCGUGAAGCGGUCCACAUUUAA